UGCGAACCUGCUGGGCUAACUGGUCGAACUGAGCGGCUUCGACCAUCUGAAUGGGGGGUGGAACGGUGGAGUGUUGCUGAGAAUGUGUUGGAGACGCAGCGGCCCCCCGGCCGGAGGCGUGAGAGGUCCCGCGACCGGAGGCAUUGGAAGCUCCACGACCACCUCGCCGUGCCAUUACGAUCGCUCUGAGAUUCGUCCCUUCCUCUAGCGCCAACUGUUGCUGGUGGUCCAAACCGAGAACGAUUGGCACAGCGGUGUGAACGGGGUUCCGUUUGGGUUGCCUUGGUUGGUGUUGAUUGCGCUCCACCUUCCACCGGAAAACCUGCAAGCAAGCCUCGCACCACCACUGGGGUAGUGGGGGCCCUCCGACGAUCAAGUCAGAGGAGAUUGGAGGAGAAGGAGAGAUAAUAGUAGCAAGUAAGAGAAUGCACUGGAAGUUCUUGCUCACCCCCCCCUUCUCCCCCCAGCCGCAUAUAUACCAGGCUGGGGGGUCCUUCUGGGGGGUUGGUCAUCGUGUGGCACGAUGGAGUUGCCACUGACAUGGCCGUUACAGGGCGUCGUGGGGCAGCGCAG
This 573-nucleotide long non-coding RNA is filed under the name Phoenix dactylifera (date palm). RNAcentral describes it as "long non-coding RNA (PDAC_LNC019293)". The record is from RNAcentral. Lineage: Eukaryota; Viridiplantae; Streptophyta; Magnoliopsida; Arecales; Arecaceae.